Molecule: long non-coding RNA, 407 nt
Organism: Uranotaenia lowii
Lineage: Eukaryota; Metazoa; Arthropoda; Insecta; Diptera; Culicidae
Exons: 2
Source: RefSeq, a predicted model, not a curated record
AUAAAAGGUAGCACAGUUUUAUAGUUUCGUCACAGAAUUGUGUAGCAUUUCCCCUGGAAUUCGAAUCUCAACAAGAUGUUUUUCAAACUAUUCCUCUCUAUCGUGCUUUUUGCUUAUGCAACUUCUGGUGAACCACAACUACCAAAUGUUUCCCCUCCAUCGAUGCCUGGUACCCCUGAUAUGCCCAUGAACCCUGAGGUGCCACCCAUGGAAACUCCCGCACCUCCCGCAAUUGAUGAAUUGCCAGUACCGGCACCAAGUAGCAUUUCCGAUCGAAUUUCAAAUCGAUUCAACUAGGUAGUAGGUUCCUAAAUUAAAGAUGUUGUAAAUGCCAUUGGAAUGGAUCUGAUCGAGUGGUUUUGAGUAAAGUUGUACCAAAUUUUCCAAUAAAAACAAUCAAAACCAAA